GCCAGUGUGGCAUAGUGGUUAUAGUGUCAGACUAGGACCUGCAAUACUGUGGUUCAACCCCACGCUAAGCCA
Phrynosoma platyrhinos (Desert horned lizard) is the source of this 72-nucleotide non-coding RNA. NCBI's taxonomy places the organism in Eukaryota, Metazoa, Chordata, Lepidosauria, Squamata, Phrynosomatidae. The record is from the annotation of a GenBank genome assembly.